This 69-nucleotide transfer RNA is filed under the name Ictidomys tridecemlineatus (thirteen-lined ground squirrel). RNAcentral's name for it is "Spermophilus tridecemlineatus (thirteen-lined ground squirrel) tRNA". It matches the Rfam family "tRNA". From Rfam's summary of the family: Transfer RNA (tRNA) molecules are approximately 80 nucleotides in length. Their secondary structure includes four short double-helical elements and three loops (D, anti-codon, and T loops). Lineage: Eukaryota; Metazoa; Chordata; Mammalia; Rodentia; Sciuridae. The record is from Rfam by way of RNAcentral.
GGGGUUGUGGCUCAGUGGUAGAGCACUUGCCUAGCAUGUGUGAGGCCCUGGGUUCAAUACUCAGCACCA